Molecule: ribosomal RNA, 466 nt
Filed under: uncultured Nitrosomonas sp.
Lineage: Bacteria; Pseudomonadati; Pseudomonadota; Betaproteobacteria; Nitrosomonadales; Nitrosomonadaceae
Description: bacterial SSU rRNA
Rfam family: Bacterial small subunit ribosomal RNA
Source: RNAcentral
GGAGGAAAGCAGGGGAUCGAAAGACCUUGCGCUUUGGGAGCGGCCGAUGUCUGAUUAGCUAGUUGGUGGGGUAAAGGCCUACCAAGGCGACGAUCAGUAGUUGGUCUGAGAGGACGACCAGCCACACUGGGACUGAGACACGGCCCAGACUCCUACGGGAGGCAGCAGUGGGGAAUUUUGGACAAUGGGCGCAAGCCUGAUCCAGCAAUGCCGCGUGAGUGAAGAAGGCCUUCGGGUUGUAAAGCUCUUUCAGUCGAGAAGAAAAGACUGCAGUGAAUAACUGCAGUUCAUGACGGUAUCGACAGAAGAAGCACCGGCUAACUACGUGCCAGCAGCCGCGGUAAUACGUAGGGUGCGAGCGUUAAUCGGAAUUACUGGGCGUAAAGGGUGCGCAGGCGGCUUUGUAAGUCAGAUGUGAAAUCCCCGGGCUUAACCUGGGAAUUGCGUUUGAAACUACAAGGCUAGA